Molecule: long non-coding RNA, 420 nt
Organism: Notolabrus celidotus (New Zealand spotty)
Lineage: Eukaryota; Metazoa; Chordata; Actinopteri; Labriformes; Labridae
Exons: 2
Source: RefSeq, a predicted model, not a curated record
UAUUGUGUAUUUAUUUAUAAUAUAUUUUUGUAUUUUUAUGUUGAUUUAAUUAAUUCUUAAUUGUUUUCCACAGGUUGGGAUGGCUAUAAAUUGAUAAGGGGUGAUUAAACUAAAUAACAGGCUUAUGUCGCGACGUUUCGGCCCUAUCUGGGCCUUCUUCAGGCAGCCUGUUGAUUCAAACUAAGUCUAAAUGCGUGUCCUUUUUUCCUAUUCUAAUCCUAAGUGUGUAUCUGCUUUCUGCUCCUAGGGAGAGGUCUGCUCUGCAUGCAGGAUGAGAGAGAAGUGAGGGGAGAAGUGAGGCUGCUCCCCUCACAGCCUCUGCAGCUAGCCACGCCCCCUCCCAGGGUGUGGUGAGUAUAGGGUGUUAAUAAAUUGUUGUUCGGGUGUUUUAAUAAAUUUGCUCUUUUGCAAUAAAUCAUA